Lethenteron reissneri (Far Eastern brook lamprey) is the source of this 403-nucleotide long non-coding RNA. RefSeq lists it as uncharacterized. NCBI's taxonomy places the organism in Eukaryota, Metazoa, Chordata, Hyperoartia, Petromyzontiformes, Petromyzontidae. The record is from RefSeq and is a predicted model, not a curated record.
GCGCAUCUGGCCACGCGCGCACGUGGACACGGCGAGAGAGUUCGUUGCGAUACCGUUGCGACUGAUGCUGCUGCUGCUGUACACGGAGACACAAAGACAAAGAUCCCCCCGUGGAACCUUAACAGACUGUUGGGGCAAGUGCUGUUAGCGAGCACCUAUCAAGGCUGGAACGGCACACGACGGGUGCUGGUGUUGACAUCACACAACGGUACUCAGUGGAGGCUGCGUCGGCCCACAGGGACCCAGGAAAAAGUUCUGGUACCACUCGCCACUGACGUCAGCCGUGGGAAAGAAUCGACGUCGGUGUGGCCGCGUUCAUCAGCGGCGAGUGACACCUCAACAGAAUGCGGCAGCAGCAGCGACGGGCAGGCGGGCGGGAGGGCCUCGAUGGCGGAGAGAGCAG